GAUGAACGCUGGCGGCGUGCCUAAUACAUGCAAGUCGAACGAGGUCUUCGGACCGAGUGGCGAACGGGUGAGUAACACGUUGGUACCUACCCCGAAGUGGGGAAUAACUGGCCGAAAGGUCGGCUAAUACCGCAUAAUACCGCAAGGUUAAAGCAGUAAUGCGCUUCGGGAGGGGCCUGCGUCCCAUUAGCUAGUUGGUGAGGUAAUUGCUCACCAAGGCAACGAUGGGUAGCUGGAUCGAGAGGUUGACCAGCCACACCGGGACUGAGAUACGGCCCAGACUCCUACGGGAGGCAGCAGUAAGGAAUCUUCCACAAUGGACGAAAGUCUGAUGGAGCAACGCCGCGUGCAGGAUGACGGCCUU
RNAcentral lists this ribosomal RNA (364 nucleotides) under uncultured bacterium. Its description in RNAcentral is "bacterial SSU rRNA". It matches the Rfam family "Bacterial small subunit ribosomal RNA", at positions 28 to 418 of the family's 1533-position model. The record is from RNAcentral.